UACGUAGGGUGCAAGCGUUGUCCGGAAUUAUUGGGCGUAAAGAGCUCGUAGGCGGUUUGUCGCGUCUGCUGUGAAAGUUCGGGGCUCAACCCCGGAACUGCAGUGGGUACGGGCAGACUAGGGUGCGGUAGAGGAGACUGGGAUUCCUGGUGUAGCGGUGGAAUGCGCGGAUAUCAGGAGGAACACCAGUGGCGAAGGCGGGUCCCUGGGCCGCAACUGACGCUGAGGCGCGACAGCGUGGGGAGCGAACAGG
RNAcentral lists this ribosomal RNA (253 nucleotides) under uncultured bacterium. RNAcentral's name for it is "partial 16S ribosomal RNA". It matches the Rfam family "Bacterial small subunit ribosomal RNA", at positions 524 to 776 of the family's 1533-position model. The record is from RNAcentral.